UUUCCGUAGGUGAACCUGCGGAAGGAUCAUUACAGAGUUCAUUCCCGACAGGGUCGACCUCACACCCCGGUGUAUCAUUACUUUGUUGCUUUGGCGAGCUGCGAUUGGUCCUCAGUAUUUGAAUCUUGCGCACGCUCUCAAGAGGAUACUAAAGCACUUUUUAUUAAUCUCCUCUGAGUACUAUAUAAUAGUUAAAACUUUCAACAACGGAUCUCUUGGUUCUG
RNAcentral lists this unclassified non-coding RNA (224 nucleotides) under plant metagenome. RNAcentral describes it as "partial contains small subunit ribosomal RNA, internal transcribed spacer 1, and 5.8S ribosomal RNA". The record is from RNAcentral.